RNAcentral lists this ribosomal RNA (335 nucleotides) under uncultured bacterium. RNAcentral's name for it is "bacterial SSU rRNA". It matches the Rfam family "Bacterial small subunit ribosomal RNA", at positions 18 to 344 of the family's 1533-position model. The record is from RNAcentral.
CCUGGCUCAGGAUGAACGCUAGCGGCAGGCCUAAUACAUGCAAGUCGGACGGGAUCCGUCGGAGAGCUUGCUCGAAGACGGUGAGAGUGGCGCACGGGUGCGUAACGCGUGAGCAACCUACCUCUAUCAGGGGGAUAGCCUCUCGAAAGAGAGAUUAACACCGCAUAACAUAUCUGACCGGCAUCGGUUAGCUAUUAAAUAUUUAUAGGAUAGAGAUGGGCUCGCGUGACAUUAGCUAGUUGGUAGGGUAACGGCUUACCAAGGCGACGAUGUCUAGGGGCUCUGAGAGGAGAACCCCCCGCCCUGUUACUGAAACACGCACCGGCCUCCUCGGG